RNAcentral lists this ribosomal RNA (465 nucleotides) under Vreelandella stevensii. RNAcentral describes it as "partial 16S ribosomal RNA". It matches the Rfam family "Bacterial small subunit ribosomal RNA", at positions 338 to 795 of the family's 1533-position model. The record is from RNAcentral. Lineage: Bacteria; Pseudomonadati; Pseudomonadota; Gammaproteobacteria; Oceanospirillales; Halomonadaceae.
CCUACGGGAGGCUGCAGUGGGGAAUAUUGGACAAUGGGCGAAAGCCUGAUCCAGCCAUGCCGCGUGUGUGAAGAAGGCCUUCGGGUUGUAAAGCACUUUCAGUGGGGAAGAAAGCCUUGGGGCUAAUACCCUCGAGGAAGGACAUCACCCACAGAAGAAGCACCGGCUAACUCCGUGCCAGCAGCCGCGGUAAUACGGAGGGUGCGAGCGUUAAUCGGAAUUACUGGGCGUAAAGCGCGCGUAGGCGGUCUGAUAAGCCGGUUGUGAAAGCCCCGGGCUCAACCUGGGAACGGCAUCCGGAACUGUCAGGCUAGAGUGCAGGAGAGGAAGGUAGAAUUCCCGGUGUAGCGGUGAAAUGCAUAGAGAUCGGGAGGAAUACCAGUGGCGAAGGCGGCCUUCUGGACUGACACUGACGCUGAGGUGCGAAAGCGUGGGUAGCAAACAGGAUUAGAUACCCUGGUAGUC